This 440-nucleotide ribosomal RNA is filed under the name uncultured bacterium. Its description in RNAcentral is "partial 16S ribosomal RNA". It matches the Rfam family "Bacterial small subunit ribosomal RNA", at positions 338 to 795 of the family's 1533-position model. The record is from RNAcentral.
CCUACGGGAGGCAGCAGUGGGGAAGAGUGCACAAUGGGGGAAACCCUGAUGCAGCGACGCCGCGUGAGUGAAGAAGUAUUUCGGGAUGUAAAGCUCUAUCAGCAGGGAAGAAAAUGACGGUACCUGAAUAAGAAGCCCCGGCGAACUACGUGCCAGCAGCCGCGGUAAUACGUAGGGGGCAAGCGUUAUCCGGAUUUACUGGGUGUAAAGGGAGCGUAGACGGCAGCACAAGUCUGGAGUGAAAUGCCGGGGCUUAACCCCGGAACUGCUUUGGAAACUGUGCAGCUAGAGUGCAGGAGAGGUAAGUGGUCUUCCUAGUGUAGCGGUGACAUGCUUCGAUAUUAGGAGGAACACCAGUGGCGAAGGCGGCUUACUGGACUGUACCUGACGUUGCGGCUCGAAAGCGUGGGGAGCAAACAGGAUUAGCUACCCUGGUAGUC